This is a long non-coding RNA of Phragmites australis (common reed), 1075 nucleotides long. RefSeq lists it as uncharacterized. The transcript has 2 exons. Lineage: Eukaryota; Viridiplantae; Streptophyta; Magnoliopsida; Poales; Poaceae. The record is from RefSeq and is a predicted model, not a curated record.
CAGAUCUCCCAACCGCUGCGCCGAUAAGUCGAUCCGGUCCGUCGCUCCCCUGUUUACGCCCGGCUCGUCGAUCGUCUCCAACCGCCCAAAUCCGCACCGCCCGCCUGCCCAACUCCUCCCCUCCCCGCCGCCAUCGCUCCUCCCUCACACGUUGUCGCCGUCACUUCCUCCGCCGCGCGGCGUCCGAUCCGAUCGGUGGCCGCCUCCUUCGAAGCCAUCCUAAGGGUGUCCCGGAGUCAGCGACAGGAGAUUCAACAUGCCAACGUCCGCCUCAAUCCACGCUAAAAUCCCUCACCGCGCACCCGUCCCUCUGCGCCGCCGUCGUCUCCUAGAAAGACUGGACGCUUACUCGGGUGGAAGGCACAAUCAACGAAACACAUCUCGAAGCGCCUUGCUCUCUCGCCUUCGCUUGCCUCCCCUCCCGGACCAGCACAUGAGCCAGCUCGCCCCUGAUGGCCGCGGCGAUGGACGUCGACGCCGCCGCUGGAGGGCAUAGGCAACUUUCGGAGAAGGACCUCUUCCUCGCGGCGGAAUCCGACGACGCCGCCGCGUUCGCCUCCCUCGCCCCCGCUGACCUCGCCGCGGCCCUCUCCCUCCGCAACAGGGACGGCCGCUCCCUGCUCCACGUCGCCGCCGCCGCCGGCCACCACCAGGCAAAGAGGCCUUCUGCUGUUUAGAAUCGAAUAUGUUGGGUGUCUGGGUUUAGACUUCUGACUAUUUUGCGAUGCUGUGGUGGGUUUAGGUGGUGCUCGCACUUGCGGAGGCCGGUCGUGAUGCCGCGGCCAGCGUCGUGAACGCGAAGGACGAGGAGGGGUGCGCGCCGAUCCACUCUGCGGCGAGCAUCGGCAACGCCCAGAUCGUUGACAUCUUGCUUGAGCAAGGUGUUGCAUGAGGUUGCUACAGUGGUGCUGCUCCAAUAACCAAAAUUGAUACUUGGGGUGGUAUUUUCCCCUUUGCAACCAAGUAAAAAGUCCGGAAAACAAACAAUGGUUCUCUUGAGUUAUAUAGUUCAUGAUGAGGGGACAAUUCGGAUCAUUUGGUGUAUUGAGUUGACCAUUAUGCGUGAUCAUUAAAA